CUCACACUGCUGACGACGAAGGACCAAGCAGCAACGGCGAUCAAGCGGUUCAGGGCUGGAGCGGAGGUGGAGACGGGGCGCAAGCUGCGCCUACUCCGGACUGACCGUGGUGGCGAGUUCACCGUGGCCACGUUCGCUGAGUACUGCGCUGACGAGGGUAUCGGCCGUCAACUGACGGCGCCGUACUCACCCCAGCAGAACGGGGUCGUCGAGCGCCGAAACCAGACGAUUGUCUCCACCGCGCGCAGCUUGAUGAAGGCCAUGGGCGUUCCAGCAAGGUUUUGGGGAGAAGCCGUGACCACCGCGGUUUAUCUCCUGAACAGAUCACCGACGAAGAGCGUGGAUGGACAAACCCCAUUCGAGGUAUGGCACGGCUACAAGCCAGAUGUGAGUUAUUUGCGUGUCUUUGGGUGUGUUGCACACGUGAAGGUGACCAAGCCGAACCCGGCGAAGCUGGAUGAUCGGAGCACCCCCAUGGUGUUCCUCGGGUACGAGCCUGGGUCGGCGGCAUAUCGCGUCUACGACCCUGUGAAGAAUCGUGUGCACGUGUCGCGCGAUGUCAUCUUCGAUGAAGGCGCUCGGUGGGAAUGGAACAAGGAGGGAGCGGCC
Molecule: ribosomal RNA, 609 nt
Filed under: Triticum aestivum (bread wheat)
Lineage: Eukaryota; Viridiplantae; Streptophyta; Magnoliopsida; Poales; Poaceae
Description: partial small subunit ribosomal RNA
Source: RNAcentral